RNA transcript from Beta vulgaris subsp. vulgaris (sugar beet), 1142 nucleotides. It is a transcript of the gene named PITH domain-containing protein At3g04780, with no coding region annotated. The transcript is spliced from 9 exons. The record is from RefSeq and is a predicted model, not a curated record. NCBI's taxonomy places the organism in Eukaryota, Viridiplantae, Streptophyta, Magnoliopsida, Caryophyllales, Amaranthaceae.
UGACAGAAUAAAAGAAUUUCGGAAGGGCCUUCUUAAGAAGAAAAAUUGGAACCGGAGGCAAGAAGCUGUAGUGGAACUCUCUCAGAAUCUCUUUGAUAUUCUCCUGCUUGUUUUGUCCGCCAUGGCUGCCGAAUCUGCUUCUGCAAUUCAAAGAAGCCAAGUGGAUUUACUGGAGCAUAUAGAUUGGAGAGGGGUUGAAUGUCUCAAUCAAAGCGGCACUCACUCUGUUGCUAACGCCCUCAAGCAGGGUUACCGCGAAGAUGAUGGCUUGAUUCUGGAGAGUGAUGCUGAUGAGCAACUUUUGAUCUACAUUCCAUUUACCCAAGUCAUAAAACUGCAUUCUAUUGUCGUUAAAGGAACAGAAGAGGAAGGUCCUAAAACUGUCAAACUUUACUCAAACAAAGAGCAUAUGGGAUUUAGUAAUGUAAACGACUACCCUCCAAGUGAUACAGCUGUUCUAUCAGCUGAGAAUCUCAAGGGAAAGCCAGUAGUAUUGAAGUAUGUUAAAUUUCAAAAUGUUCGCAGCUUAACAAUUUUUAUUGAAGAUAAUCAAUCUGAUUCGGAGAUGACUAAGGUCCAAAAGAUAGCCCUGUAUGGAACAACCUGUAGGUUCUGCAACAUGAUGUGACAUUUCAAGUGCUAUGAAGUUGAGGCCAGGGCCUAUCAAAGCCAUGGGGGUAGAAGUAGCUCUCCACAUUAAGUGUGGGGUUGAGACAACUGAUAUGAAGAGUUUGAAGAAGAUUGAGGACCAGCAUUAGAAUGCUGUUGAAAGAAAAUGAUUGAACCUGAAAGUAUUUUGACCUUUCAGCCUUAAUUAUGUUUUUAGAUAUUGGAUUAUACUAGCCAUGUGGCUGCUCAUGAAGACUUGUAUCCAAAAGCUGUGACAUCUUGUUUGCGAGAGUGGCAAGGAUAUGUUGAGCUUCAUAGUUCUUUGACGUGCCAUUUUUGGUCUUACUGUCUGAACUAUGAACUGGACAGGCACUGGCUGUUUUGAUGCAAACCAACCUUGACCAAAUACGUAUUGUGUCUGGUCAAUGGUAAAAUGGAGUAUAGGUCCAUGAUCCGGUCCGAGAUUGGUCUAAGUACCAUGGGCCGGAUCUUUGAAUUCAAAUUAAUGUAGUUCUCAUUUCCUUUUUUCCUUA